AACGAACGCUGGCGGCAGGCUUAACACAUGCAAGUCGAACGCGUGUAGCAAUACACGAGUGGCGCACGGGUGAGUAACGCGUGGAUAUCUGCCUUUUGGUUCGGAAUAACCCCGGGAAACUGGGGCUAAUACCGGAUGGUUCCUUCGGGAUAAAGAUUUAUCGCCAAAAGAUGAGUCCGCGUACGAUUAGCUAGUUGGUGAGGUAAUGGCUCACCAAGGCGACGAUCGUUAGCUGGUCUGAGAGGACGAUCAGCCACACUGGGACUGAGACACGGCCCAGACUCCUACGGGAGGCAGCAGUGGGGAAUAUUGGACAAUGGGGGCAACCCUGAUCCAGCCAUGCCGCGUGAGUGAUGAAGGCCUUCGGGUUGUAAAGCUCUUUUGGCGGGGACGAUGAUGACGGUACCCGCAGAAUAAGCCCCGGCUAACUUCGUG
RNAcentral lists this ribosomal RNA (435 nucleotides) under uncultured organism. Its description in RNAcentral is "bacterial SSU rRNA". It matches the Rfam family "Bacterial small subunit ribosomal RNA", at positions 29 to 507 of the family's 1533-position model. The record is from RNAcentral.